GUUCAUAUCGACGGCGGUGUUUGGCACCUCGAUGUCGGCUCAUCACAUCCUGGGGCUGAAGUAGGUCCCAAGGGUAUGGCUGUUCGCCAUUUAAAGUGGUACGCGAGCUGGGUUUAGAACGUCGUGAGACAGUUCGGUCCCUAUCUGCCGUGGGCGCUGGAGAAUUGAGGGGGGCUGCUCCUAGUACGAGAGGACCGGAGUGGACGCAUCACUGGUGUUCGGGUUGUCAUGCCAAUGGCACUGCCCGGUAGCUAAAUGCGGAAGAGAUAAGUGCUGAAAGCAUCUAAGCACGAAACUUGCCCCGAGAUGAGUUCUCCCUGACUCCUUGAGAGUCCUGAAGGAACGUUGAAGACGACGACGUUGAUAGGCCGGGUGUGUAAGCGCAGCGAUGCGUUGAGCUAACCGGUACUAAUGAACCGUGAGGCUUAACCUUACAACGCCGAAG
RNAcentral lists this ribosomal RNA (445 nucleotides) under Escherichia coli. RNAcentral's name for it is "bacterial LSU rRNA". It matches the Rfam family "Bacterial large subunit ribosomal RNA", at positions 2498 to 2925 of the family's 2925-position model. Lineage: Bacteria; Pseudomonadati; Pseudomonadota; Gammaproteobacteria; Enterobacterales; Enterobacteriaceae. The record is from RNAcentral.